This 219-nucleotide long non-coding RNA is filed under the name Homo sapiens (human). Its description in RNAcentral is "HSALNT0398721". The record is from RNAcentral. Lineage: Eukaryota; Metazoa; Chordata; Mammalia; Primates; Hominidae.
AAUUGCUCUGGGUAGGUGCCAAUUCAAGUAGAAAGAAACAGAAUAAAGGCUCAGAGGAAGACGUCAUCAGAAAGCAGCUUCCAGAGCAUGUUCUGUGCGGAGAAUGGAUGUGUGCUUUCUCUCCAUGUGAAACCAGGGGACGAGAAAAGGCUCCUGAGAGGAUGAAGGUGAAAAGAGGAGCAUAUUUAGUGGCUGAAGGCAGGGGCACUGGGAAUGGGA